RNAcentral lists this ribosomal RNA (39 nucleotides) under vouchered mycorrhizae (Humaria). RNAcentral's name for it is "partial 28S ribosomal RNA". Lineage: Eukaryota; Fungi; Ascomycota; Pezizomycetes; Pezizales; Pyronemataceae. The record is from RNAcentral.
UUGACCUCGGAUCAGGUAGGGAUACCCGCUGANCUUAGC